RNAcentral lists this ribosomal RNA (1039 nucleotides) under Enterococcus faecium. Its description in RNAcentral is "bacterial SSU rRNA". It matches the Rfam family "Bacterial small subunit ribosomal RNA", at positions 66 to 1076 of the family's 1533-position model. Lineage: Bacteria; Bacillati; Bacillota; Bacilli; Lactobacillales; Enterococcaceae. The record is from RNAcentral.
ACGCUUCUUUUUCCACCGGAGCUUGCUCCACCGGAAAAAGAGGAGUGGCGAACGGGUGAGUAACACGUGGGUAACCUGCCCAUCAGAAGGGGAUAACACUUGGAAACAGGUGCUAAUACCGUAUAACAAUCGAAACCGCAUGGUUUUGAUUUGAAAGGCGCUUUCGGGUGUCGCUGAUGGAUGGACCCGCGGUGCAUUAGCUAGUUGGUGAGGUAACGGCUCACCAAGGCCACGAUGCAUAGCCGACCUGAGAGGGUGAUCGGCCACAUUGGGACUGAGACACGGCCCAAACUCCUACGGGAGGCAGCAGUAGGGAAUCUUCGGCAAUGGACGAAAGUCUGACCGAGCAACGCCGCGUGAGUGAAGAAGGUUUUCGGAUCGUAAAACUCUGUUGUUAGAGAAGAACAAGGAUGAGAGUAACUGUUCAUCCCUUGACGGUAUCUAACCAGAAAGCCACGGCUAACUACGUGCCAGCAGCCGCGGUAAUACGUAGGUGGCAAGCGUUGUCCGGAUUUAUUGGGCGUAAAGCGAGCGCAGGCGGUUUCUUAAGUCUGAUGUGAAAGCCCCCGGCUCAACCGGGGAGGGUCAUUGGAAACUGGGAGACUUGAGUGCAGAAGAGGAGAGUGGAAUUCCAUGUGUAGCGGUGAAAUGCGUAGAUAUAUGGAGGAACACCAGUGGCGAAGGCGGCUCUCUGGUCUGUAACUGACGCUGAGGCUCGAAAGCGUGGGGAGCAAACAGGAUUAGAUACCCUGGUAGUCCACGCCGUAAACGAUGAGUGCUAAGUGUUGGAGGGUUUCCGCCCUUCAGUGCUGCAGCUAACGCAUUAAGCACUCCGCCUGGGGAGUACGACCGCAAGGUUGAAACUCAAAGGAAUUGACGGGGGCCCGCACAAGCGGUGGAGCAUGUGGUUUAAUUCGAAGCAACGCGAAGAACCUUACCAGGUCUUGACAUCCUUUGACCACUCUAGAGAUAGAGCUUCCCCUUCGGGGGCAAGUGACAGGUGGUGCAUGGUUGUCGUCAGCUCGUGUCGUGAGAUGUU